RNAcentral lists this ribosomal RNA (773 nucleotides) under Enterobacteriales bacterium symbiont of Basilia (Paracyclopodia) sp. Its description in RNAcentral is "bacterial SSU rRNA". It matches the Rfam family "Bacterial small subunit ribosomal RNA", at positions 434 to 1201 of the family's 1533-position model. The record is from RNAcentral. Lineage: Bacteria; Pseudomonadati; Pseudomonadota; Gammaproteobacteria; Enterobacterales.
UUCAGUCGUGAGGAAGGUGUUAGGGUUAAUAACCUUAGCAAUUGACGUUAGCGACAGAAGAAGCACCGGCUAACUCCGUGCCAGCAGCCGCGGUAAUACGGAGGGUGCGAGCGUUAAUCGGAAUUACUGGGCGUAAAGGGCACGCAGGCGGUUAAUUAAGUUGGAUGUGAAAUCCCCGGGCUUAACCUGGGAAUGGCAUUCAAGACUGGUUAGCUAGAGUCUUGUAGAGGGGGGUAGAAUUCCAUGUGUAGCGGUGAAAUGCGUAGAGAUGUGGAGGAAUACCGGUGGCGAAGGCGGCCCCCUGGACAAAGACUGACGCUCAUGUGCGAAAGCGUGGGGAGCAAACAGGAUUAGAUACCCUGGUAGUCCACGUUGUAAACGAUGUCGAUUUGGAGGUUGUGGUCAGGAACUGUGGCCUCCGGAGCUAACGCGUUAAAUCGACCGCCUGGGGAGUACGGCCGCAAGGUUAAAACUCAAAUGAAUUGACGGGGGCCCGCACAAGCGGUGGAGCAUGUGGUUUAAUUCGAUGCAACGCGAAGAACCUUACCUACUCUUGACAUCCAGNGAAGCUUUUAGAGAUAGAGGCGUGCCUUCGGGAACUUUGAGACAGGUGCUGCAUGGCUGUCGUCAGCUCGUGUUGUGAAAUGUUGGGUUAAGUCCCGCAACGAGCGCAACCCUUAUCCUUUGUUGCCAGCGAUUAGGUCGGGAACUCAAAGGAGACUGCCGGUGAUAAACCGGAGGAAGGUGGGGAUGACGUCAAGUCAUCAUGGCCC